This 466-nucleotide ribosomal RNA is filed under the name uncultured bacterium. RNAcentral's name for it is "partial 16S ribosomal RNA". It matches the Rfam family "Bacterial small subunit ribosomal RNA", at positions 28 to 507 of the family's 1533-position model. The record is from RNAcentral.
GACGAACGCUGGCGGCGUGCUUAACACAUGCAAGUCGAACGGUAAGGCUCCAGCUUGCUGGGGUACACGAGUGGCGAACGGGUGAGUAACACGUGGGUGACCUGCCCUGCACUUCGGGAUAAGCCUGGGAAACUGGGUCUAAUACCGGAUAGGACCAUGGUGUGGAUACUGUGGUGGAAAGUUUUUUCGGUUUGGGAUGGGCCCGCGGCCUAUCAGCUUGUUGGUGGGGUAAUGGCCUACCAAGGCGGCGACGGGUAGCCGGCCUGAGAGGGUGGACGGCCACAUUGGGACUGAGACACGGCCCAGACGCCUACGGGAGGCAGCAGUGGGGAAUAUUGCACAAUGGGCGGAAGCCUGAUGCAGCGACGCCGCGUGGGGGAUGACGGCCUUCGGGUUGUAAACUCCUUUCACCAUCGACGAAGGGUUUCUGACGGUAGAUGGAGAAGAAGCACCGGCUAACUACGUG